Molecule: ribosomal RNA, 423 nt
Filed under: uncultured cyanobacterium
Lineage: Bacteria; Bacillati; Cyanobacteriota
Description: bacterial SSU rRNA
Rfam family: Bacterial small subunit ribosomal RNA
Source: RNAcentral
GGAAUUUUCCGCAAUGGGCGAAAGUCUGACGGAGCGACGCUGCGUGAAGGAUGAAGGCCCGUGGGUUGUAAACUUCUUUUCUCGAAGAAGAAAAAAAUGACGGUACUUGAUGAAUAAGCCACGGCUAAUUCCGUGCCAGCAGCCGCGGUAAUACGGGAGUGGCAAGCGUUAUCCGGAAUUAUUGGGCGUAAAGCGUCCGCAGGCGGUCUUGUAAGUCUGUCGUUAAAGCGUGGAGCUUAACUCCAUUUGAGCGAUGGAAACUGCAAGACUAGAGUGUGGUAGGGGCAGAGGGAAUUCCCGGUGUAGCGGUGAAAUGCGUAGAUAUCGGGAAGAACACCAGUGGCGAAGGCGCUCUGCUGGGCCAUAACUGACGCUCAUGGACGAAAGCCAGGGGAGCGAAAGGGAUUAGAUACCCCAGUAGUC